Molecule: ribosomal RNA, 515 nt
Filed under: uncultured bacterium
Lineage: Bacteria
Description: bacterial SSU rRNA
Rfam family: Bacterial small subunit ribosomal RNA
Source: RNAcentral
CACGGUAAACGAUGGAUGCCCGCUGUUUGCGAUAUAUUGUAAGCGGCCAAGCGAAAGCGUUAAGCAUCCCACCUGGGGAGUACGCCGGCAACGGUGAAACUCAAAGGAAUUGACGGGGGCCCGCACAAGCGGAGGAACAUGUGGUUUAAUUCGAUGAUACGCGAGGAACCUUACCCGGGCUUGAACUGCCAGCGAACGAUACAGAGAUGUUGAGGCCCUUCGGGGCGCUGGUGGAGGUGCUGCAUGGUUGUCGUCAGCUCGUGCCGUGAGGUGUCGGCUUAAGUGCCAUAACGAGCGCAACCCCUUUCGUCAGUUGCCAUCAGGUUAUGCUGGGCACUCUGGCGACACUGCCACCGUAAGGUGUGAGGAAGGUGGGGAUGACGUCAAAUCAGCACGGCCCUUACGUCCGGGGCUACACACGUGUUACAAUGGGUGGUACAGAGAGUCGGUCGCAGGCAAUUGCGGUCUAAUCAUGAAAGCCAUCCUCAGUUCGGAUUGGGGUCUGCAACCCGACC